UCGAUGAUCAACACUGGCUUCAUCUCCAUUCUACUUCUAAUUGUUUAUUAGCAGCUCUUUCCCGUUCACAUAUCCCUUAAGCGCGGUCUAUUCUUCUCCCGCCCUCGAUAUCGCCCCCCUCUCUCUCUCCCUCUCGCGUGCGGGUGUGUCUGCACGCACAGUCUUGCUCAUCAGCCACUUCGCACUUGCUCACCCACUCGACGAAGCACAAGAGGCGACGAUACUUAUCAGCGGUAAGUGCCGCCAUAACCGCCAUCCACAACCUUGAGAAGAAAGAGCAGGGAAAUAUGAUGCGGCGCACGCUGCUCUGGCUCGUGAACUUCGAGCCCGUCUUCAUGCCGGCCCUCUCCCCGUCGAUGGAGACAGGCACGGUGGUCGAAUGGAAGAAGAAGGUUGGCGAGCUCGUGAAGGAGAGCGAGGUCUUCUGCACCAUCCAGACGGACAAGGCGGUAGUGGACUACACGAACACCUUCGAGAGCGGCUACCUCGCCAAGAUAUACUGCGGGAACGGCCAGUCUGCCCCCGUCGCCAAGACGAUUGCUGUGAUGGUGAGCGACGCCGCGGAUGUCAGUAAGGCGGACGAGUACACGCCUGAGGGCGAGGUGCCUGCCGCGGACGCGGAGGCACCCGCCGCUGCUGCUGUUGCCGCUGCGCCGGCCGCUGGUGGUGCCUCCUCUGAGGUGCCGGAAGGCGUCACCUGUGAGCCCGUCUUCAUGCCGGCCCUCUCCCCGUCGAUGGAGACAGGCACGGUGGUCGAAUGGAAGAAGAAGGUUGGCGAGCUCGUGAAGGAGAGCGAGGUCUUCUGCACCAUCCAGACGGACAAGGCGGUAGUGGACUACACGAACACCUUCGAGAGCGGCUACCUCGCCAAGAUAUACUGCGGGAACGGCCAGUCUGCCCCCGUCGCCAAGACGAUUGCUGUGAUGGUGAGCAACGCUGCCGAUGUAGAGAAGGUUGCCAACUACUACCCCGAGGAUGCAGUUGGCGGGCCGCCGGCCUCCGCCGCUGACCCUUCUGCCGCCGCUGCUGCUGCUGCGUCAGCUCGACCGGCUGCAUCGGCCGCGUCUGCCAAGCACUACGGUGGCUCGCUCGAUGCGGCGGUGGCGGCUAGUGGCCCAAGCGUGGCCCGCAUUGCUGCUGGUCUGGAGCCCAGCGCUCUCGCCGGCAUCGCUCCCUCUGGCAAGGGUGGGCGUUUCCUGAAGUCCGACUUUUCUGGUCAACCCGGUUUCGACUACAACGACACCGCGCCGGCGCGAGCGAUGCAGCAGAAGGCGGCCCCCGCCGCUGCCGCUGAUGGGGCGAGUAAGGCGGCUGCAAAGCCUGCUGCCCCGGCGGCGGUAAGCGGGGACAUCUACAACGUUGUUCUCAAGCCCGGCCCUGUGUACAAGAGCGUCAGCGACACGGCCCUGCUGAAGAAGCUCAUGUGCUCCAUGCACAUUCCGAAGCCAAAGUCGAAGAAGGCCGCCGAGUAAGGCGAAGAUGUGCACCGAUGCGCGCGUGUGCGCGAAACGCGUGUCUUCCGCUCAUUCACCAAGGGGUUGGGGGGAGGAGAGGCGGACGCUGAGCAGAAACUCUUCCCGUGUAGCCGACGUCGCCGUGUAGUUCACGCCGUCGGUGCGGGUGUGGUUCAAGUCAGAGACCUCUCGGGAAAGGGAUGGGUGGGGGUGGGGAGGAGGCCGCAGUCACACAAACGGGCGGCUACGCACUUCCUCACAUGCACACACACAGCCACUCGCCCUCUCCUCUCACCAUCUCUCUGUGUACAACGGUGAAGCAGGGAAAAGGCGAGAGGUCGGUGGAGAACGGUGGGGCCGAGCAUGGAGGCUGUGCCUGCACGAUGACGAACACAGGAGUGCAAAGCAGUGGGGUGCGGUGUACAUGUGAAACCGACUAUCUGCCACCCUUUUACCCAAUGGAUGACACUCGCCCGUCCAACCCCAACGAGCUUUCUCCCCUCAAGAAAGAGGCACACCCGAUGUAUGAAGGCGGGCUGUCGAGGCAUCUGGCACGCGACAGCUGCUCCCUACACUGGCACCGUGGCAAUGGACUUGACGCACGCAGAUGUGUGCCGCUGUGCCUUGUUGUGCGUCUCCGAUUCGACAAUGGGCGCCUUCGGCAGGUGUGUGGGGUGACACGCCGCCACCGGCAAGCAGAGCGAGACGAUAUAAAGAUUGUGUGCUGUAUAUCUUUUUUAUUAGACAUACAAGUGCCUGUCGUAAAGCACACCAUCGGCUUUUGCAGUUCACUUUCUCUCUCUGCGUGCGUGCAUGUGUGACAGCCACACAGCACGACCCCCACCCCGUUCCAUGCACGAAGUCCGGCAUGCGCACAACCGUGCAAUCGAGGGACGGCUAAACACAGAAAAUACGAAGAAAGCAAAGCCGAACGGGAAUUUUGAUGCCUUUCACUGUCUGAGCUGUACGGCAGUGGUUGCUGCCAAACGGGUGAGGAGGCGAGCGGAAUGGCGGGCUGCGUGGGUGGAUGGGUGGAGGGGGAGGGGGGGGUGAUGUCGUCGUUGUUGUCCUCAACCGCAUGCGUCUGUGUGCUUACGUGUUUCUGUUUGAACGCGUGCAGGUUUCGGUGUGUCUCUCGACGUGUAAGCUGGCGCCCCUGCGGCAGUGGAGUCGUCGUUGUUGGCUUUCGCUUUCCCGAUGGUUCUCAUGCUUUGUUUCGGGCCCUUGUCGGCACAUGCGUAUGCCGCCCCUUCUCCUCUCCCUUCUCUCGGUUCUCUGUUCGGCGUACCGCAAGUGCAAUACGUGAGCGCACAUUUCUGUGUUCGCGUGGGAGUUGCCCACGGUGUGUUGAUUUCUCUCUAACGCUGAGGGGUUUGACCUGACGAAUGUGUGUGCGCACCCCCUCUCCCUCGUUCUCGUGGCGCUCCUCCACUCCAGACACCCACACGCGCCUACACACGCACACCCGCGGCGUAUACAUCGUUCGCAGUGUCGAUCAGGAUAUCAAACCGCGCAAACGUGAGGUCAGACAGCGCCACGGAGCCCUCUCAAGCCAAGUGAGACGAUGGGGAAGCGCGCCACGGAGGCGGAAGGGCACGCUGACACGCGUGCGCACACAAACACACUGCUAUCAGAGGAUUGCCGUAGCUUCUAGCGACGAAUGGGGUGACCAGCAAGACGUGCACCGCACACAACGAAGCAUCCAUUCUAGCCACCUGCUGCGUGAUUGAUAUGGUGACACAGACACGCUCGCUUCUCUUCGUCCACUCC
Molecule: unclassified non-coding RNA, 3224 nt
Filed under: Leishmania donovani
Lineage: Eukaryota; Euglenozoa; Kinetoplastea; Trypanosomatida; Trypanosomatidae
Description: gene:LdHU3.21.0660(CDS-product:dihydrolipoamide_a cetyltransferase_precursorlike_protein)
Source: RNAcentral